UGAGGGUAAUAAUCUGGGAAAUCCUGCUGU
RNAcentral lists this non-coding RNA (30 nucleotides) under Rattus norvegicus (Norway rat). Lineage: Eukaryota; Metazoa; Chordata; Mammalia; Rodentia; Muridae. The record is from RNAcentral.